This is a long non-coding RNA of Artibeus jamaicensis (Jamaican fruit-eating bat), 1237 nucleotides long. RefSeq lists it as uncharacterized. The record is from RefSeq and is a predicted model, not a curated record. NCBI's taxonomy places the organism in Eukaryota, Metazoa, Chordata, Mammalia, Chiroptera, Phyllostomidae. The transcript is spliced from 4 exons.
UUCAAAACACACGACGAUCCUGCUCACCACAUAAAGCCCAGUUCCCUCUGGCCUCUAUAGGUUGGCUAUCACCAAGGAACCUGUGCCUCCUCUGAGACAAAGGCACCACUUCAGUAACAGCUCCAGGGAAUGAGCCAAGAUACAAGUGGAUUACUUUUUGGGAAGCUCUGGAAAGAUCACAGAACAGUUUUCUAACAACUCUGCCAGAUGUAUCUACUUUUUCCCAGAGGGACAAGUACAGGAAGGAGGUAAAAUGACUGAUGACUAAAGCUGGAAGGCAAAAUGGGGCCACAUCUCCUACGAAGAUCUCGUCUCCCCACUGAAGACCCUGGCCCAGCCUUCUGCAGUGCCACGCUCCGUGUAUUUGACAAGCUGAGUUGGACACUCCGUGUGGCAGAGUGUCAGUUUGUCAAAUACCCCAAGUGCGGCAUGUGCCUAGCAACUUCAGGCCAGGGCACUUCAGAUACAACAAAUAGACUAUCAGCUAAAUAAGGAACAUAUGGAAAGCACCAACUAAGCUCUCACAAGUUAUUUUUGGGAACUUUGAGGGAAUGUAAGCAUUUUAUCUGAGGUUACUAAUGGAAAAAUCAGAUGGCUCUGGAAGCAACAGUCCUGGGUGGGUUUUGCUCACACUGUGGGAGUCUGAGGUGGGUACAGUAGUCUUUAAAAGGUAUCCAGGGCUCAGAAAUGUAAGUGUUACUUGAUUCAUUGUUUUUUUUUUUUCCUUCACAUUCACCUUCCAGCAUCUCUCAGCAGGGAUACCAGAAGUCUCACCACUGCCAUGGCAAGACUUAGAAACCCACUUUCCUGACAGUCAGCCUUGGCUCUAAAUACACUUUGACAUCACCCAUCUCUCUUUUUCCUCUUGCUUUUUCUCCUUCUGAGAAUACGCUCUACAUUUCUUUCUAGCUAUCCAGUUCCUCUCCAUAUUUCCUGGCCCAGCCAGAGUCCAGUCUCUCCAGUGACUUUUGAAAGUCAAAUUACACUUUUUAAUUCUCAAAUUGCUUUUUGCCUGGUUCCUUUUAUGUACCCCUUUAUCUCCUACUGCCCAAUGACACCAUGUUAAUUGUUAGUGAACUUUUCCAGAGGAUAUUUUUGAAUUCCCCACUAGGUUGUGUGCUUCUAGAGGACAAGACUGUGUUUCCUUGAUUGCUGUCUCUCUAUUCCAUCCCAACCCCAACCACUAGCACAAUGUUCUAGUUGCAGAAAAUACUCAAUAAAUAUUUGUUUUGAUUAA